GUAAGGAAUAUUGGACAAUGGGGGCAACCCUGAUCCAGCCAUGCCGCGUGAAGGAUGACGGCCCUCUGGGUUGUAAACUUCUUUUGUACGGGAAUAAACCCCUCUACGUGUAGAGGGUUGAAUGUACCGUAAGAAUAAGGAUCGGCUAACUUCGUGCCAGCAGCCGCGGUAAUACGAAGGAUCCAAGCGUUAUCCGGAUUUAUUGGGUUUAAAGGGUGCGUAGGCGGGCUAUUAAGUCAGUGGUGAAAGCCUGCAGCUUAACUGCAGAAUUGCCAUUGAUACUGAUGGUCUUGAGUACACUUGAGGUGGGCGGAAUGUGUCAUGUAGCGGUGAAAUGCUUAGAUAUGACACAGAACACCGAUUGCGAAGGCAGCUCACUAAAUUGUAACUGACGCUGAGGCACGAAAGCGUGGGGAUCAAACAGGAUUAGAAACCCCUGUAGUCC
Molecule: ribosomal RNA, 445 nt
Filed under: uncultured bacterium
Lineage: Bacteria
Description: bacterial SSU rRNA
Rfam family: Bacterial small subunit ribosomal RNA
Source: RNAcentral